CACGUAGGCGGUUGAGUAAGUCUAUCGUUUAAUCCCUCGGCUUAACUGAGGUUCUGCGGUAGAUACUGCUCAACUUGAGUACGGGAGAGGAGAGCGGAAUUCCAUGUGUAGCGGUGAAAUGCGCAGAUAUAUGGAGGAACACCCGUGGCGAAGGCGGCUCUCUGGACCGCUACUGACGCUGAGGUGCGAAAGCGUGGGGAGCAAACG
RNAcentral lists this ribosomal RNA (207 nucleotides) under uncultured bacterium. Its description in RNAcentral is "partial 16S ribosomal RNA". It matches the Rfam family "Bacterial small subunit ribosomal RNA", at positions 568 to 774 of the family's 1533-position model. The record is from RNAcentral.